CUUCCUCGAUCUGCUGCGGGCAGAUGAAGUGGAUGUGCGCAUCGAAGCCGCCAGCGGUGAGGAUCCUGCCCUCGCCGGCGAUGGCCUCCGUGGACGGUCCCACGAUGAUGGUGACACCGGGCUGCGUAUCGGGAUUGCCCGCCUUGCCGAUGGCCGCGAUGAUCCCGUCCUUAAGACCCACAUCGGCCUUGUAGAUGCCGGUGUGGUCGACGAUCAGCGCGUUGGUGAUGACGGUGUCGACCGCGCCUUCCGCGCGGGUUGCCUGGCUCUGGCCCAUGCCGUCGCGGAU
This 289-nucleotide small RNA is filed under the name Nitratireductor indicus C115. RNAcentral's name for it is "5' ureB small RNA". It matches the Rfam family "5' ureB small RNA". The record is from Rfam by way of RNAcentral. Lineage: Bacteria; Pseudomonadati; Pseudomonadota; Alphaproteobacteria; Hyphomicrobiales; Phyllobacteriaceae.